This 1123-nucleotide ribosomal RNA is filed under the name uncultured bacterium. RNAcentral describes it as "bacterial SSU rRNA". It matches the Rfam family "Bacterial small subunit ribosomal RNA", at positions 47 to 1162 of the family's 1533-position model. The record is from RNAcentral.
AUUGAUUUUAUGCUUGCAUAAAUGAUUUUUGGAUUCGGAGCGAGUGGCGAACUGGUGAGUAACACGUGGGUAACCUGCCCCGAAGCGGGGGAUAACAUUUGGAAACAAGUGCUAAUACCGCAUAAUUAGUUGGAACCGCAUGGUUCCAACUUGAAAGAUGGCUCUGCUAUCACUUUGGGAUGGACCCGCGCCGUAUUAGUUAGUUGGUGAGAUAAAAGCCCACCAAGACGAUGAUACGUAGCCGACCUGAGAGGGUAAUCGGCCACAUUGGGACUGAGACACGGCCCAGACUCCUACGGGAGGCAGCAGUAGGGAAUCUUCCACAAUGGACGAAAGUCUGAUGGAGCAACGCCGCGUGAGUGAUGAAGGUUUUCGGAUCGUAAAACUCUGUUGUUAAAGAAGAACAAGUGUUAGAGUAACUGUUAACACUUUGACGGUAUUUAACCAGAAAGCCACGGCUAACUACGUGCCAGCAGCCGCGGUAAUACGUAGGUGGCAAGCGUUGUCCGGAUUUAUUGGGCGUAAAGCGAGCGCAGGCGGUUUUGUAAGUCUGCUGUGAAAGCCCUCAGCUCAACUGAGGAAGUGCAGUGGAAACUACAAAACUUGAGUACAGAAGAGGAAAGUGGAACUCCAUGUGUAGCGGUGAAAUGCGUAGAUAUAUGGAAGAACACCAGUGGCGAAGGCGGCUUUCUGGUCUGUUACUGACGCUGAGGCUCGAAAGCAUGGGUAGCGAACAGGAUUAGAUACCCUGGUAGUCCAUGCCGUAAACGAUGAAUACUAGGUGUUGGAGGGUUUCCGCCCUUCAGUGCCGCAGCUAACGCAUUAAGUAUUCCGCCUGGGGAGUACGACCGCAAGGUUGAGACUCAAAGGAAUUGACGGGGGCCCGCACAAGUGGUGGAGCAUGUGGUUUAAUUCGAUGCUACGCGAAGAACCUUACCAGCUCUUGACAUCUUCUGCCAACCCAAGAGAUUGGGCGUUCCCUUCGGGGACAGAAUGACAGGUGGUGCAUGGUUGUCGUCAGCUCGUGUCGUGAGAUGUUGGGUUAAGUCCCGCAACGAGCGCAACCCUUAUUAUUAGUUGCCAGCAUUUAGUUGGGCACUCUAGUGAGACUGCCGGUGAUAAA